GGCCGGGCGACGGUUGUCCCGGUUUAAGCGUGUAGGCUGGUUUUCCAGGCAAAUCCGGAAAAUCAAGGCUGAGGCGUGACGACGAGGCACCACGGUGCUGAAGCAACAAAUGCCCUGCUUCCAGGAAAAGCCUCUAAGCAUCAGGUAACACGAAAUCGUACCCCAAACCGACACAGGUGGUCAGGUAGAGAAUACCAAGGCGCUUGAGAGAACUCGGGUGAAGGAACUAGGCAAAAUGGUGCCGUAACUUCGGGAGAAGGCACGCUGACACGUAGGUGAAGUGAUUUACUCAUGGAGCUGAAGUCAGUCGAAGAUACCAGCUGGCUGCAACUGUUUAUUAAAAACACAGCACUGUGCAAACACGAAAGUGGACGUAUACGGUGUGACGCCUGCCCGGUGCCGGAAGGUUAAUUGAUGGGGUUAUCCUCGCGGAGAAGCUCCUGAUCGAAGCCCCGGUAAACGGCGGCCGUAACUAUAACGGUCCUAAGGUAGCGAAAUUCCUUGUCGGGUAAGUUCCGACCUGCACGAAUGGCGUAAUGAUGGCCAGGCUGUCUCCACCCGAGACUCAGUGAAAUUGAACUCGCUGUGAAGAUGCAGUGUACCCGCGGCAAGACGGAAAGACCCCGUGAACCUUUACUAUAGCUUGACACUGAACAUUGAGCCUUGAUGUGUAGGAUAGGUGGGAGGCUUUGAAGCGUGGACGCCAGUCUGCGUGGAGCCAACCUUGAAAUACCACCCUUUAAUGUUUGAUGUUCUAACGUGGACCCGUUACCCGGGUUGCGGACAGUGUCUGGUGGGUAGUUUGACUGGGGCGGUCUCCUCCCAAAGAGUAACGGAGGAGCACGAAGGUUGGCUAAUCCUGGUCGGACAUCAGGAGGUUAGUGCAAUGGCAUAAGCCAGCUUGACUGCGAGCGUGACGGCGCGAGCAGGUGCGAAAGCAGGUCAUAGUGAUCCGGUGGUUCUGAAUGGAAGGGCCAUCGCUCAACGGAUAAAAGGUACUCCGGGGAUAACAGGCUGAUACCGCCCAAGAGUUCAUAUCGACGGCGGUGUUUGGCACCUCGAUGUCGGCUCAUCACAUCCUGGGGCUGAAGUAGGUCCCAAGGGUAUGGCUGUUCGCCAUUUAAAGUGGUACGCGAGCUGGGUUUAGAACGUCGUGAGACAGUUCGGUCCCUAUCUGCCGUGGGCGCUGGAGAACUGAGGGGGGCUGCUCCUAGUACGAGAGGACCGGAGUGGACGCAUCACUGGUGUUCGGGUUGUCAUGCCAAUGGCACUGCCCGGUAGCUAAAUGCGGAAGAGAUAAGUGCUGAAAGCAUCUAAGCACGAAACUUGCCCC
Molecule: ribosomal RNA, 1333 nt
Filed under: Salmonella enterica subsp. enterica
Lineage: Bacteria; Pseudomonadati; Pseudomonadota; Gammaproteobacteria; Enterobacterales; Enterobacteriaceae
Also listed under: 1 other name
Description: partial 23S ribosomal RNA
Rfam family: Bacterial large subunit ribosomal RNA
Source: RNAcentral